GAUAAAUGUAGAUGAAUACAUGUCAGAUAAUGAAAGUAUAUAUUCAGUAAUAAGUAUAGAUGCUUUAGAAGGAAGACAACAAGAUUCGUCUGAUUCAGAAGAAGAAACUUUAAUAAACGAAAUAGGAUUAGAAUAAUUAGACUUAAAUAACAAGGAUUUUACAUUUGUCAAUAUACAAUGCGAUCACCAAUUUUCAAAAGGAAAAGGUUUAGAUAGUAAAAAAUGCUUUAAUUGCACAGGAUACCCC
RNAcentral lists this long non-coding RNA (247 nucleotides) under Solanum tuberosum (potato). RNAcentral's name for it is "long non-coding RNA (STUB_LNC005634)". Lineage: Eukaryota; Viridiplantae; Streptophyta; Magnoliopsida; Solanales; Solanaceae. The record is from RNAcentral.